This 251-nucleotide ribosomal RNA is filed under the name uncultured bacterium. Its description in RNAcentral is "partial 16S ribosomal RNA". It matches the Rfam family "Bacterial small subunit ribosomal RNA", at positions 524 to 776 of the family's 1533-position model. The record is from RNAcentral.
UACAGAGGUCCCAAGCGUUGUUCGGAUUCACUGGGCGUAAAGGGUGCGUAGGCGGUCGGGUAAGUCUGAUGUGAAAUCUCACAGCUUAACUGUGAAACUGCAUUGGAUACUAUCCGGCUCGAGGAAUGGAGGGGAGACUGGAAUACUUGGUGUAGCAGUGAAAUGCGUAGAUAUCAAGUGGAACACCAGUGGCGAAGGCGAGUCUCUGGACAUUCUGACGCUGAGGCACGAAAGCCAGGGAGGCAAACGGG